UACAGGGGGGGCAAGCGUUGUUCGGAAUUACUGGGCGUAAAGGGUCUGUAGGUGGCCAACUAAGUCAGACGUGAAAUCCCUCAGCUUAACUGGGGAACUGCGUCUGAUACUGGAUGGCUUGAGUGUGGGAGAGGAAUGCGGAAUUCCAGGUGUAGCGGUGAAAUGCGUAGAUAUCAGGAGGAACACCGGUGGCGAAGGCGGAUCUCUGGGCCAUUACUGACGCUGAGGAGCGAAAGCGUGGGGAGCGAACAGG
RNAcentral lists this ribosomal RNA (253 nucleotides) under uncultured bacterium. RNAcentral's name for it is "partial 16S ribosomal RNA". It matches the Rfam family "Bacterial small subunit ribosomal RNA", at positions 524 to 776 of the family's 1533-position model. The record is from RNAcentral.